Molecule: ribosomal RNA, 395 nt
Filed under: uncultured bacterium
Lineage: Bacteria
Description: bacterial SSU rRNA
Rfam family: Bacterial small subunit ribosomal RNA
Source: RNAcentral
CAGGUCUUGACAUCGUAUGCAUAGCAUAGAGAUAUGUGAAAUCCCUUCGGGGACAUAUAGACAGGUGGUGCAUGGUUGUCGUCAGCUCGUGUCGUGAGAUGUUGGGUUAAGUCCCGCAACGAGCGCAACCCUUGCCAUUAGUUGCUACGCAAGAGCACUCUAAUGGGACUGCCGUUGACAAAACGGAGGAAGGUGGGGACGACGUCAAAUCAUCAUGCCCCUUAUGACCUGGGCUACACACGUACUACAAUGGCGUUUAACAGAGGGCAGCCAGCCGGCGACGGUGAGCGAAUCCCUAAAAAACGUCCCAGUUCAGAUUGCAGGCUGCAACCCGCCUGCAUGAAGUCGGAAUUGCUAGUAAUCGCGGAUCAGAAUGCCGCGGUGAAUACGUUCCC